Mustela erminea (ermine) is the source of this 701-nucleotide long non-coding RNA. RefSeq lists it as uncharacterized. The record is from RefSeq and is a predicted model, not a curated record. The transcript is spliced from 2 exons. NCBI's taxonomy places the organism in Eukaryota, Metazoa, Chordata, Mammalia, Carnivora, Mustelidae.
AGACAUCUGUUCAAGAGAGUGUAAAAGUGAGGCUUCAUCAUUUUAGAAGCUGCUUAAGAAGCACAAAGAUCCAACUAAUUAAUAUAAAAAGUCAUUCAAAAACACUUUUCCAGUGGAGGAUGGUAUGUUCUAGUUGCUUUUUAUACAUUUUUUUUUCUAACAACAGGCACUCUAGAACACACAAAAUGCUUUAAUGCGUUCAUUAACAGAAAAUGAGCCACCAGCCUAAAUGUUUCUAUGUGUCUUCAUGGGAGCACUUGUAGUGAAAUGAGAACUCAUUUUCAUCCCAAAAUCUCUCCCCUCAAAACAGACCCCCUAACAUCUGGACCAGAGGAAUGCCAAGGGGCUACCAUUAUCCUUUGUGCCUAAUACAAUACCUGGGAUACAGAAAAUGCGAGCUUUUCAAAAUGUCGCCCGCUGCUCCGACAAAAGGCCGGUUACGCCGUGGAACAGUACCGAAGGGCUCCGAGAGAGAGGACACCUCCCGGCAGGCCUCCGCACAAUCGCGUCCAUCCAUCCCUGCCCAGGGCCAGACCACAGCCUUUAGAUAGUCUCACUCUCGACUCCGGAAAAGAUUGCGGGGCCUCAUCCUCCCAUGCAAUUGUCAACAAAAGAGACACUAUAUCAUAAAACAGCAUCUUUUUCAACUCCGCACAAUACUUCCACGUAUAUCAAAAUUAAUACAGCCUCUAAAUUCUUCA